GUUAUGGCUCAGUGGUAGAGCACUUGCCUUCCACAUGUGAGGCACUGGGUUCGAUCCUCAGCAUCACA
RNAcentral lists this transfer RNA (68 nucleotides) under Marmota monax (woodchuck). Its description in RNAcentral is "tRNA.Gly". Lineage: Eukaryota; Metazoa; Chordata; Mammalia; Rodentia; Sciuridae. The record is from RNAcentral.